Molecule: ribosomal RNA, 743 nt
Filed under: uncultured bacterium
Lineage: Bacteria
Description: bacterial SSU rRNA
Rfam family: Bacterial small subunit ribosomal RNA
Source: RNAcentral
CCUCCAAGUUAGGGAUAAGCCCCCGAAAGGGGGUCUAAUACCGAAUAAUAUCCCUGAAAGGCAUCUUUUUGGGAUCAAAGAUCCGCAAGGAUUGCUUGGAGAUGGAUCCGCGCUCCAUUAGCUUGUUGGUGAGGUAAAAGCUCACCAAGGCUACGAUGGAUAGCCGGCCUGAGAGGGUGUUCGGCCACACUGGGACUGAGAUACGGCCCAGACUCCUACGGGAGGCAGCAGUAGGGAAUAUUGCGCAAUGCCCGCAAGGGUGACGCAGCAACGCCGCGUGGGUGAUGAAGCUUUUCGGAGUGUAAAACCCUGUCAGAGGGGAAGAAAAUCCUACCUUGUGUGGGACUGACGGUACCCUCAGAGGAAGCUCCGGCCAACUCCGUGCCAGCAGCCGCGGUAAUACGGGGGGAGCAAGCGUUGUUCGGAAUCACUGGGCGUAAAGGGUGCGUAGGUGGGCAGGUAAGUCAGACGUGAAAACUCCAGGCUCAACCUGGAGCCGGCGUUUGAAACUACUUGUCUUGAGUACGGGAGAGGGAAGUGGAAUUCCUGGUGUAGCGGUGAAAUGCGUAGAUAUCAGGAAGAACGUCGGUGGCGAAGGCGGCUUCCUGGCCCGAUACUGACACUGAGGCACGAAAGCUAGGGGAGCAAACAGGAUUAGAUACCCUGGUAGUCCUAGCUGUAAACGAUGGGCACUAGGUGUUGGAGGUAUCGACCCCUUCAGUGCCGCAGUUAACGCAUUAAGU